RNAcentral lists this transfer RNA (73 nucleotides) under Myotis lucifugus (little brown bat). It matches the Rfam family "tRNA". From Rfam's summary of the family: Transfer RNA (tRNA) molecules are approximately 80 nucleotides in length. Lineage: Eukaryota; Metazoa; Chordata; Mammalia; Chiroptera; Vespertilionidae. The record is from Rfam by way of RNAcentral.
GCCCAUUUGGCUCAGUGGAUAGAGCAUCGGCCUGUGAACUCCAGGGUCCCAGGUUCGAUUCCGGUCAAGGGCA